UGGAUUAUCUACCUCUUUGUGGGGAAUAACUCUGGGAAACCGGAGCUAAUACCGCAUAAGUCCGAGAGGAGAAAGCAGCAAUGCGCAGAGAGAGGAGUCCGCGGCCUAUUAGUUAGUUGGCGGGGUAAAAGCCUACCAAGACAAAGAUCGGUAGCCGGCCUGAGAGGGCACACGGCCACACUGGCACUGAAACACGGGCCAGACUCCUACGGGAGGCAG
RNAcentral lists this ribosomal RNA (219 nucleotides) under uncultured bacterium. RNAcentral's name for it is "partial 16S ribosomal RNA". It matches the Rfam family "Bacterial small subunit ribosomal RNA", at positions 118 to 351 of the family's 1533-position model. The record is from RNAcentral.